This 453-nucleotide ribosomal RNA is filed under the name uncultured Paraprevotella sp. Its description in RNAcentral is "partial 16S ribosomal RNA". It matches the Rfam family "Bacterial small subunit ribosomal RNA", at positions 341 to 792 of the family's 1533-position model. The record is from RNAcentral. Lineage: Bacteria; Pseudomonadati; Bacteroidota; Bacteroidia; Bacteroidales; Prevotellaceae.
ACGGAAGGCAGCAGUGAGGAAUAUUGGUCAAUGGGCGCGAGCCUGAACCAGCCAAGUAGCGUGAGGGAUGACUGCCCUACGGGUUGUAAGCCUCUUUUGUUUGGGAAUAAAGUAGCCUACGUGUAGGCUUUUGCAUGUACCUUUCGAAUAAGCAUCGGCUAAUUCCGUGCCAGCAGCCGCGGCAAUACGGAAGAUGCGAGCGUUAUCCGGAUUUAUUGGGUUUAAAGGGAGCGUAGGCGGCCUUUUAAGUCUGCGGUCAAAUGUCAGGGCCCAACCUUGGCAUGCCGUGGAUACUGAUGGGCUUGAAUACAUGCAAGGCAAGUGGAAUUCGUCGUGUAGCGGUGAAAUGCUUAGAUAUGACGAAGAACUCCGAUUGCGAAGGCAGCUUGCUGGUGUGCGAUUGACGCUGAGGCUCGAAAGUGCGGGAAUCAAACAGGAUUAGAUACCCUGGUA